RNAcentral lists this ribosomal RNA (408 nucleotides) under uncultured bacterium. Its description in RNAcentral is "bacterial SSU rRNA". It matches the Rfam family "Bacterial small subunit ribosomal RNA", at positions 328 to 750 of the family's 1533-position model. The record is from RNAcentral.
CCCCCAGACUCCUACGGGAGGCAGCAGUGGGGAAUAUUGGGCAAUGGGCGCAAGCCUGACCCAGCAACGCCGCGUGAAGGAAGAAGGCCUUCGGGUUGUAAACUUCUUUUCUCAGGGACGAAGAAAGUGACGGUACCUGAGGAAUAAGCCACGGCUAACUACGUGCCAGCAGCCGCGGUAAUACGUAGGUGGCAAGCGUUAUCCGGAUUUACUGGGUGUAAAGGGCGUGUAGGCGGGGAAGCAAGUCAGAUGUGAGAGCCACGGGCUCAACCUGUGGCCUGCAUUUGAAACUGUUUUUCUUGAGUACUGGAGAGGCAGGCGGAAUUCCGUGUGUAGCGGUGAAAUGCGUAGAUAUACGGAGGAACACCGGCGGCGGAGGCGGCCUGCUGGACCGCGACUGACGUUGAG